GGAUGGUGUGGAAUCUGAAAUCAAGUGAUACUGUUUCAUUGGUAAUAAUCUAAUUAUCUUCUGAGAUCUGUUUAUUUAUUUUUAUAGUUUUUUGUUGUGGAUUUGUAUGAUUUUGAAACUUGUAGAUCUGAAAAAGUAGUUAUGCUUGUGCACAAAUGUAUAGACAUUGGAAUAACUAAUUGUUCCCACUCACAUGAUAUAGAGAGAUACUUGUCUCUUUGAUAUGCUUGUAUUGUUAUGGAAAUUAACACAUGUUGAAUAUUUGCAGACAUAUAUGGUGCUUAAUUAUAUAUAUUAGGUUCAUACUUCAUUUCUUAUUGUAAUUUUUAUGAAUGAGUUCUUCAAGUCUGAGUUUAUCCAGAGAGAUAUUUUUCAAAGUACUUUUUCUUGUUUUUUUUUAGGUCAAGAGUUUUUCUUAUCUUGUUCAUUAGUUGUGAAUUAUCAUAAACUCAUGUUGUUUUCUGAUUUGUUAUGUUUAAUUUUGUGUUUGCUCUAUUCUUUAAAGCUUUAUUACUUAAUUUUAUUUCUUAUCUUGUUAUUACUUAUAUUUUUUUUUUUGACAAAAAUAAUAAUUGACAAAGUUAAAAAAUCUGAAAAAAAUCCUGUAUAAAAGAAUAAAUUUUUUAUUUAAGAUCUUAUUCAUAUUUUUAUAUUGAUUAAAUAAUUAAUCUAUCUAAUUUAUGUAUAAACUGAAUUCAUUGGAUAUUAAAUAAAUUUAAAAGGUAAGAUUUUAUUUAUAAUAGUGAUUAAAGGUGUAUUAUUUAAAUGGUUGACAAUUGUUUGGGAUUGAAAGGGUAGUUCAAUUAAUUUAAACUAGUUGAAUUAAAAGUUUAAAGUAUUUGAAGGUUCAUAAUUUAAUUCCCAACAAAGAUGUAAAUAUUAUACUUACAAUAUCAUUAAAAAAAUGUUUGUCUCAGCAUAGAUGCAUACUAUUUGCUAACGUACACAUUCACACAUGCAUUUGGUAAAUUAUAAUCUAAAAUUAAAAUUUAAUGUUUAUAGUUAUGAAAUCUGAAUUGAAGGGUCACUAAUGCACCACGUGAAUGUGUGAGUGAGUGCAUGAUUUGGAAGAGAAUGAAAAAUGGAAGUAGAUGAAGAAUUAAUGAGAAAUGAAGGCAGCAAUUUGAAUAUAAACUGAGAGUUAGCCCGUAGCAGCAGUUGACAGAGCAGAAUAUCAACACUUGGCAAACUAGCUACUAGCUAGCUGCGGCCCCUUCCACAACAAUGUCAUUCUUCUUUUAGCUGUGUUACCAUCCUAGGAUAUUUGAUCAAUGCAAUUCAUUACACUACUUGUCUUUCGGAUACUGUGUACAAUACUCUUUUCAUUUUUCUUCCCAAAUUUA
This 1343-nucleotide long non-coding RNA is filed under the name Lathyrus oleraceus (garden pea). RNAcentral describes it as "Pisum sativum (pea) long non-coding RNA (PSAT_LNC033706)". Lineage: Eukaryota; Viridiplantae; Streptophyta; Magnoliopsida; Fabales; Fabaceae. The record is from RNAcentral.